Xenia sp. Carnegie-2017 is the source of this 389-nucleotide long non-coding RNA. RefSeq lists it as uncharacterized. NCBI's taxonomy places the organism in Eukaryota, Metazoa, Cnidaria, Anthozoa, Malacalcyonacea, Xeniidae. The transcript is spliced from 3 exons. The record is from RefSeq and is a predicted model, not a curated record.
GAAAAGCUAUAUCAAUUAUAAAUCUAUUCGGGAGCAAUUUAUUUUCUUCAAGUCUUCGACUGUGUAUAUUUACUGAACUAGUCAAUUGAUUGAGAAAAUACAAAAUGAGUAUUUUGACCUACGUCAUGAUUUUGUUGGCUUUUGCUCGUUGUUCAAACACCUCGCUUGUAGAUAUGUUACAAGAAGCCGAAAAACCAGUUAAAACGUUCUUGGCUUGCCAUUGCAAAUAUGUACCUUUUCCUGGAGUUCAGCGCCAUGGACGCUGUUUACGUGGCGAGAGAUAUUGCAAAAUAAUGCAUCAUAAUACUGUUUUUUGCUGCAUCAAAUGAAACUAAAUUUGGAUAUUUAAUUUGUUUAUUGUUUGUUUAUUAAAUCAUAUAAUAAUCUUU